Molecule: ribosomal RNA, 545 nt
Filed under: Sialis nr. mohri SLW-2008
Lineage: Eukaryota; Metazoa; Arthropoda; Insecta; Megaloptera; Sialidae
Description: partial 16S ribosomal RNA
Rfam family: Bacterial large subunit ribosomal RNA
Source: RNAcentral
UUAUCAAAAACAUGUCUUUUUGAAUAUAAUAUAAAGUCUAACCUGCCCACUGAUAUAAAUUGAAGGGCCGCAGUAUUUUGACUGUGCAAAGGUAGCAUAAUCAUUAGUUUUUUAAUUGGGGACUUGUAUGAAUGGUUGGACGAGGUAUUAACUGUCUCUAUUUAAUAAGUAAUUGAAUUUAAUUUUUGAAUUAAAAAGUUUAAAUUUAAUUAAAAGACGAGAAGACCCUAUAGAUCUUAAUAUUUUAUUAUUUUAUAAUUUUUUAUUAUUAUAAUAUUUAUAAAAUUUUAAAUUAUUUUAUUGGGGUGAUAUAAAAAUUUAUAUAACUUUUUAUUUUUUAUAACAUUAAUUUAUGAAUAAAUGAUCCAAUUUUAUUGAUUAUAAGAUUAAGUUACCUUAGGGAUAACAGCGUAAUUUUAUUGGAGAGUUCAUAUCGAUAAUAAAGAUUGCGACCUCGAUGUUGAAUUAAGAGUAAUUUUAGGUGUAGAAGUUUAAAAUUUUAGUCUGUUCGACUAUUAAAUUCUUCAUGAUCUGAGUUCAAACCG